AACCUCAACUUUUCUUAAAGGUAAAGUAACUCCAUGACACCAUAUUAUUUGUAUGCCUUUUGUAAUGCAGAGACUGUUACAAACCUCAAAACCAGAGAGCUCCUCCAGCUUCUGAAACAGCUGCAUCUCUGCCUGGUUGUGCUCUUGGAUGGUUUGGUACAGCUGUCACAAAACAGAGCCUUGCUCUGAGGCGCCUCCAUAUUCCUGCAUCUUCUGCUGGGACUGAUGAGGCUGGUGAUGUCUCUAACCUACCCUGAAUCGGUCAUCUUCUUUACUGCAGUAGCAUCUUCAACAACAUCUGCUGUGUUCCUUCUGCUGGCAGAGGUUGUAUUUCGUGUUGUUGGGGGUAAAUCAGUAUAUCUGGCUAUGUUUUUUAUCAUUCUGUGUGAACUUGAGUCUCUGGAGUCUAAAAUGCUCUAAAAUUGCUUUUCUUUCUUUCAGUGAAAUUGUCAGGAAGAAAAUACUGCUAAAAAGGAGGCAUAGUUUAAAUUUAAGGCAUCAGCUGAGGUCUGUGGCACUGCAGGUUUUCAUGUGGAGUUGCACAGCCAUAGACUUCCGUACAGAGCCCUGCAACAAGUUAGACAAGAGGCACUGAGGCCUCUCCUGCAGGACUCCCAUUCCAGGAGAAGAUUGAUUUGUGCAGGAACUGCCCAAAGAAGUAUCAAAGUCACUGCUUGCUGGCAGUACUUCUCUCCAGAUGUACCAUUUGGCACAUUAAGCAAUUCUUUUCUUAGAAGGGGAACCUAUGGUUUUGUCAUGUAAUGCAAAACACCAAUGGAAUCACUACAUAAGCAAAAUGCCAGUAAUGGUACAGUGGUCCAGCCACAAACAUUGCAAACAACCCAGGGCAAAACAUGGUUGUGAAGGUUUGCAGCUACACUUGGAGCUGGAGAAAGCCAGUGCAGUAGUGCUGUGAGCUCAGCCAUGUGGAUUCAGCAUUGAGGGGAGAAGGGAUGCACAUUCAAGAAUGCCUACAGAUACAGUUCUGUCUACACCUCACCACAGCUACAUGGAUUAGAGCUAUAAAGAUGUUGGUCUAAGUCACAAGAGUUUUGGAGACUGGAAAUACUUGAUUUCAGUAGUUGAAUUUAAAGUUAUCUGAAGAUUGUUGCAGAUCCCGAAUGCUGAAGAGUUCCUGAAAUACAUCUACUUCCAAGCUGAAAAUGGCUGCACAGCAAGGCAAUAGCAUUUCAACCCAAAAGUGCAUGUAAGUCUUCAUCAAGCUGCUAUUGUCUGAAGUGGAAUUUGGUGCAGAAAUCCCAUCUGGUGAUUUAUAUUCUUGCAGAAAAUGUCACCAUGAGGAAUUGAAUGCUUCAGAAGAAUUGAGGCUUCUAUUACUUUUCAUUCAAAAAGAAAUGCUUUAAAUGGUGUUAUGAAGCAAGAGCUCACUACUGGGAUCAAUCCUCUCCUUGAAGGCUUGAGGCCUGGUUAGGUUCAGGCUGUUAAAUUGUGCCCACAGCUGAUACAGCAGUUAAUGGGAUUGUGAUCAGCAGCUUCAAAUGCAUCAAUCUGAUCCCUGAUGUUUCUGAGGUGGACAUUAGCAAACAUGGAACUUAAACUGUAUAGAACCUUCACUUUUGCUGUGAAGAGGCUUUAAAGAGCCUUUUAAGGACACUUCACUUGUUUACCAAGGUCUGCUUUUUUUGUGUUUCCAUUUUAAAAUAGACUAAUGUAUGUUUCUUACCUCUUGUUACAUUUGCAUUAAUUUUUAUUUCACUGUUUCCAUAAAUCCAUCAGUCUUGUUGCUGAUAUGUAUGUUGAAUAUGUAUUAUCCCAUGUAUAAGGGACUGGAGAAUUGGAUUUUGAUCCAGUCCCACAGCUGAUAUUCUGCUAUGGGCUGUGGAUGUCAAUAAUGUGAAAUUAAAAAAGUAGAUGUAAACUAUUGUAAGAACAUGUUUGUUAGGGUUACUGUAUUAUGCAGUAGAUUUCACUGUAUGAGAAAUCUGUUAUUCAAGGUAGAAUGUAUUUUGAACUUGAAUUCUUCAGAAAAAUAACCUAUAGAUAAAGCUGUGAUAGCAUCAGAAAAAUAGUUAUCUUAAAUUCAUAUUUGCAAAUGAAUGACAAAAUCAAUGCCAUAGUUCUCAGGAGGGUUGUUUCUGUGUUUUCAAUAAAUUCUAUUGAAGAAUGAUGUAGGUCCCUCUAGCUUCCCUCAUCAUGGCUGAUAUUCUGCUUGGAUGCAUGUGACUUUUCUCAUGACUCUAGUCUCACUUUAGGCACACCACAAACUCAGGAAAACAAUUUUUUAACUUAUUUAUGUUGUCCUCUAAAUCACUGAAUCAUAUGAUGGUUAGACCUUAAAGACCAUAUAGUUUCAACACCCUGCCAUGGUGGGUACAAGCUUCUAGUGCAACUGUCAUAGGGAAAAAAAAAGCACAAUUGUUCUGUUUUAUUUAAUAAAACCUGCAAAAUCCAGCACAGGUGAUUGAAUUCCCAGCCUUCUCCCAGUACAAAAAACUGUUCAUUUCCAUUUGGCUUUUCCUCAGGUACUCCUAUGGGGGAAAAAAACUAUUCAUCUCUACUCCAAAAGUACUUGUGAACUUUUUUUUUGAAAGUUGGUGGGAAAUCCUCUUAGUCCUUUGGGCAACAGGACAGUGAGCUCUUUCACUUGGCAUCUGCAGCUUUGGAACACCUGAGUUGAGAAGCCUCUGCUUGGCAUCUGCCUAUAAACAAGACUGCUUCUAUUUCUUUCACAAGUCUAUGUGUUUGCAGAAGGACUUUUGUUUUUAUGUGUCUGUGUGACUGAAGGAGAAAAGGCCAAGGAGUAAAAGUGUUCGCUGGGACUGGUUGAAAUGCACACAGGUGAUGGUUCUGUACUGGGGAACGCGUGGCCAAGAGUUUUGGGGUUGGCUGUGGAGCUGGACACAUACGUGGGAGAUGUCAUCUAUUAAACCUUAGAUUGGCUUUUGCAUGUGGAAUUGUUUGUUGUUGUCGUUUAGAAGCUGUUCAUUGUAGAAUUGUACUGGUUGGUUUUUUGUGUGUUCCAAUUGAAUGUUUAACUGUCAUGAGCAUUAUCCCUAUUUUUGUAAUCCCUUAGUCAUUUGUUUGUUGCUAUUGAUGCAUUGUUUGUAAGUUUAAUAUUCUCUUUAAAGUUUGUUACUUUCGAGGUUUUCAAAGCAAAUCCCCUCACCAGCAGCAUCUUACAAAGAGUUUUUAACCUGCCCCAGAAGACUUGUAACUUGACACCACGGCAAUGGUGCAUACUAAUGAGGAACUUUCUCUCCAAAACCUCAGUUACCCCAAGGACAGCAAACUGUUGGAGCAGAAGAUGUUACCAGCACCCAUCAACAACAAUUACAGGGGUGGGACUGCCAGCAACAAGCUGAGGGGACACAGAUUAUAAAAGGACCUGUGAAGUUUGAAGAAAUGCCCUUUAACUGUGGAUUAGCUGCAGCUGAGGACCCGACACUGCAGACUUCGGUCUACAUCUCUUAGAGACUUUUUUAUAUAAAUUUGAGUGCAGAUUAGCUGCAUUCACAGCAGUGCCGCUGAGUUCUUGCUUUGGGACCAAAACGCCGGUUCUGCCAGAGAAUUCCUCAAUCCUCAGACCCGGGACUUUUUUUAAUUUCUUUUCUUUUUUUCUCCCUCACCCAUUAUCCCUUCCUCCCCUUUGUUUUUUUCCCGUAAUAAACACCCCAAAGUUGUGUCUUUUUCCUCACAGAGAGGAUGCGACAGGGCAGUGUUGAGGUUUGUCAUCAUGUGGAAGCCCUGCUUUCUGUGAACCACUGAAGUCAGUGACAGGCUUUGUGCUGUCCUCUAUAGGAGCUCCUUCUGUGGACCAUCAGGAGGUCAAAAUCAUGGAAUCACAGAAUGGUUUGGCUUGGAAGAGACCUUAAAGCUCACCCCAUCCCAUCCCCUGUUAUGG
Long non-coding RNA from Parus major (Great Tit), 3862 nucleotides. RefSeq lists it as uncharacterized. The transcript has 7 exons. NCBI's taxonomy places the organism in Eukaryota, Metazoa, Chordata, Aves, Passeriformes, Paridae. The record is from RefSeq and is a predicted model, not a curated record.